This 253-nucleotide ribosomal RNA is filed under the name uncultured bacterium. Its description in RNAcentral is "partial 16S ribosomal RNA". It matches the Rfam family "Bacterial small subunit ribosomal RNA", at positions 524 to 776 of the family's 1533-position model. The record is from RNAcentral.
UACGAAGGGGGCUAGCGUUGUUCGGAAUUACUGGGCGUAAAGCGCACGUAGGCGGUUUGUUAAGUCGGAUGUGAAAUCCCUCGGCUCAACUGAGGAAGUGCAUCCGAAACUGGCAGGCUUGAGUACUAAAGAGGGUCGCGGAAUUCCCGGUGUAGAGGUGAAAUUCGUAGAUAUCGGGAGGAACACCGGUGGCGAAGGCGGCGACCUGGGUAGAUACUGACGCUGAGGUGCGAAAGCGUGGGGAGCAAACAGG